Molecule: ribosomal RNA, 499 nt
Filed under: uncultured bacterium
Lineage: Bacteria
Description: partial 16S ribosomal RNA
Rfam family: Bacterial small subunit ribosomal RNA
Source: RNAcentral
GACGAACGCUGGCGGCGUGCCUAAUACAUGCAAGUCGAGCGAAGUUUUUCUGGUGCUUGCACUAGAAAAACUUAGCGGCGAACGGGUGAGUAACACGUAAAGAACCUGCCUCAUAGACUGGGACAACUAUUGGAAACGAUAGCUAAUACCGGAUAACAGUAUUUCUCGCAUGAGAGAUAUUUAAAAGUUGGUUAUGCUAACACUAUGAGAUGGCUUUGCGGUGCAUUAGCUAGUUGGUGGGGUAAAGGCCCACCAAGGCGACGAUGCAUAGCCGACCUGAGAGGGUGAACGGCCACAAUGGGACUGAGGAACGGCCCAGGAUCCUGAGGGAGGCAACAGGAGGGAAUCUUCCGGAAUGGGCCAAAGCCUGACCGAGGAACGCCGCGGGAGUGAAGAAGGAAUUCGGUUCGUAAAGCUCUGUUGUUAGGGAAGAAUGGAUAUGUAGUAACUUUACAUGUAAGAGACGGUACCUAACCAGAAAGCCACGGCUAACUACGUG